This 1863-nucleotide ribosomal RNA is filed under the name Arorathrips mexicanus. Its description in RNAcentral is "SSU rRNA". It matches the Rfam family "Eukaryotic small subunit ribosomal RNA". Lineage: Eukaryota; Metazoa; Arthropoda; Insecta; Thysanoptera; Thripidae. The record is from RNAcentral.
UGCCAGUAGUCAUAUGCUUUUCUCAAAGAUUAAGCCAUGCAUGUCUAAGUGCAAGCCAAAUUAAGGUGAAACCGCGGAAGGCUCAUUAUAUCAGUUAUGGUUCAAUAGAUCGUACUCAGUUACAUGGAUAACUGCGGAAAUACUGGAGCUAAUACAUGCCAACAGAGUCCCGACCGGAGACGGAAGGGACGCUUUUAUUAGAUCAAAACCAAUCGGUGGCUUCGGCCAUCGUUCAACUUGGUGACUCUGAAUAACUUUGGGCUGAUCGCACGGCCUCUGUGCCGGCGACGCAUCUUUCAAAUGUCUGCCUUAUCAACUGUCGAUGGUAGGUUCUGCGCCUACCAUGGUUGUAACGGGUAACGGGGAAUCAGGGUUCGAUUCCGGAGAGGGAGCCUGAGAAACGGCUACCACAUCCAAGGAAGGCAGCAGGCGCGCAAAUUACCCACUCCCGGCUCGGGGAGGUAGUGACGAAAGAUAACGAUACGGGACUCAUCCGAGGCCUCGUAAUCGGAAUGACUACACUUUAAAUCCUUUAAGGAGUAUCAAUUGGAGGGCAAGUCUGGUGCCAGCAGCCGCGGUAAUUCCAGCUCCAAUAGCGUAUAUUAAAGUUGUUGCGGUUAAAAAGCUCGUAGUUGGAUCUGUGUCCCGCACGGUCGGUUCACCGCCCGACGGUGUAUCACUGACGCGCUGCGGGAAGUCCUGCCGGUGGCGUGUCUAGCUGCUUGGUUUUCGGACCUUGCGGGCGGCGCCGAGUCAAUCCCAUUGCGGUGCUCUUCACUGAGUGUCGAAGUGGGCCGGCACGUUUACUUUGAACAAAUUAGAGUGCUCAAAGCAGGCUGAAUUUACGCCUGAAUACUAGUGCAUGGAAUAAUGGAAUAGGACCUCGGUUCUAUUUUGUUGGUUUUCGGAACCAGAGGUAAUGAUUAAUGGAGACAGGCGGGGGCAUUCGUAUUGCGACGUUAGAGGUGAAAUUCUUGGAUCGUCGCAAGACGGACAGAAGCGAAAGCAUUUGCCAAGGAUGUUCUCGUUAAUCAAGAACGAAAGUUAGAGGUUCGAAGGCGAUCAGAUACCGCCCUAGUUCUAACCAUAAACGAUGUCAGCUAGAAAUCCGAUAAAGCUCCUUGUAUGGCUUAUCGGGCGUCUUCCGGGAAACCAAAGCUUUUGGGUUCCGGGGGAAGUAUGGUUGCAAAGCUGAAACUUAAAGGAAUUGACGGAAGGGCACCACCAGGAGUGGAGCCUGCGGCUUAAUUUGACUCAACACGGGAAACCUCACCAGGCCCGGACACUGGAAGGAUUGACAGAUUGAGAGCUCUUUCUUGAUUCAGUGGGUGGUGGUGCAUGGCCGUUCUUAGUUGGUGGAGCGAUUUGUCUGGUUAAUUCCGAUAACGAACGAGACUCUGGCCUACUAACUAGUCGUCCCGGCUUCCUCUGUGCAGCCGGCGAAGACAAAUCUUCUUAGAGGGACAGGCGGCUUCUAGCCGCACGAGAUUGAGCAAUAACAGGUCUGUGAUGCCCUUAGAUGUUCUGGGCCGCACGCGCGCUACAAUGGAGGUGACAGCGUGUGCCCCCUGGCCGAGAGGUCCGGGUAAUCUGUUGAAACACCUUCGUGCUUGGGAUUGGGGCUUGAAAUUGUUCCCCAUGAACGAGGAAUUCCCAGUAAAGGCGCGUCAUCAGCACGCCUUGAUUACGUCCCUGCCCUUUGUACACACCGCCCGUCGCUACUACCGAUUGAAUGAUUUAGUGAGGUCUUCGGACUGGCGCGCGGCGUUAUUUCGGUAUCGCCGCUGCCGCUGGAAAGAUGACCGAACUUGAUCAUUUAGAGGAAGUAAAAGUCGUAACAAGGUUUCCGUAGGUGAACCUGCG